GGUAGCUCUCUUCUACCAUCUGAUGUCAGAUGUCUUCUCUGGUGUACUGUCCAGCAUUCCUGUUGUUGCUUCUGUGAUAGCUGGAAUGAGUCCAUUCUAGACCCCUCUUAGCUUCUCCGAUGGAAUAGGUCAAUGUAGAAAGUGACAGGAGGGGGGGUUGUGGUGUCCGGGGCAGUGGUGUGGAUCAAAAAGGGGGGGAAAUUUUAUUGUUUUUUUAUUGAUUGUAUUGGUUUUGAUGUGAUUCAAUAAAAAAAUUUCACAACAAAAAAUAAAGUGAUAAGAGACAGCGAGGAACCACACCUUAAUACAGUAAACAAUAUUAGAAGAUGUAUACUUGGCAAUUAAGGACACUUUAUUUCAAUGAUCUUUCAGUAUUCUUCUGUACAAAACACAAAUCAAAUUUGUAAUGAGAAUCCUUCAUAUUACAUACUGUGAAUGACUAGAAGUGAAGUAAAUUGAAAUUAAGUUUGAACCUUACUCUCUUAUUGCUCUAUUCAUCAGAUCCACUUUAGCCGACAUCUGCAUAGAGGUUGUUUUGGCGGUGUCGGAGGUGAACUGCGUUAGAGCUGUCAAAUCCACAAGGGCUCCUGGCAUUAUACCUCCAUCGGACAUUGCUAUUGGCUGCACAGCGUCACAUUAAGAGAAAUCCCAUGUAGCCUUGUUUACAAGUUCGAACACUAGAAUGGAGAUGUAAUCUUCACCUCGAUUAGGCUGAUAGAAAUCCUCAUUAUUUAGAUUAAUGAUUUUCAAUUAGAGCAUCAUUAUUUCUAUAUAGCCUACACUUUCUUAUUCUGUCCUUCUAACGCCAGUGGGACGGUGUGGCUUCAUGACAGUGAUCAAGAGCAGCUGCUCACCGAUUUGACUGCUCUAAUGCAGCUACACCUCCGACACUGCCAAAACAUCAGCCAUUUUUCUACCCAAGCCUUUUUUCACUUUAGUGGAUAAGCUUAUAUCUUUUUGGGGGGAGCGGUGGGAGUCCAAGAAUACAUAAAGCAUUCCUCCAGAGAGAUAGAACACACAAGUCCUUCCUAACUUUAUGCAUUAUUGCUGGUCAUCGACUAUACAAAAUAUUGUUUACUGGCUUCGCACCCCAGAAACUGACUUGUGUCAAACAGAAGUCAACCCCUAUUUCUCUUCCUCUUUGUCAGCUUUAGUCACCUCCAAUCUUACUAUUUCAGCUUCGCGCUACACAUCCAAUCCAAUUGUUGUCAAUAUUCUUAAAAUGUGGCCUUAAUUCCGUCAACACUUUAAAUUCUGUGAAUUCUCUAAGUUCCUAUAUGUAAUAAUCACCUCUUCCUUUCAGCCAAACUGGAUUCAGCUUGAAGUCUGUGGCAGAGGAAUGGCCUUACUAAGUUUAAUGGCCUUUAUAUUGAUGGCACCUUUACAUUUGAUAGCGAGGUCAUCAACAUUGGCAAUCUACCCCAUUCAAGUGUAUUUAGGUAUUUCCAAAUGUAGGUAUUUUUGAGAUAAUCAUGUCCUUUGAUAACCCAUCACUUAAUAAAAUUAGAUCUGGGCGGGAAAAGGAACUUGGUUGAGAGACCUUGGACGAAGUCUGGAAUAGUGCCUUGCGUGGGGUAAAUGGAAGCUCCUCUUGUGUCCGGCUCAGCUUUAUACUUCACUGUAUCCAUUUCAGUAAGGCCAGGCUCUCCAAAUUCUACCCAAAUAUUGAUGGUACAUGUGACAGGUGUAAAAGCUCUUUGGCACACUUGACUCACAUAAUGUGGUUUUGUCCCUGUCUGGCAGACUACUGGUUCACUAUAUUUAAAACACUUUCUGAAGCAUUUGAUAUAGAGUGGCAGCCUAGUGCAGAAAUUGCUAUUUUUACCAAACAACAAUCCUUCCCUGACCAAUAGACUGCUAGAUGCCAUUGCCUUUGCCUCCCUGUUGGCACACAGAAGGAUUAUAUUGGAUUGGAAAUCUAUCAACCCUCCCUCAGCCUCUCUUUGGCCCAACUAAUUUUCCUAAAAUUAGACAAAAUUAAGUAAACCUUUCAAGGUUCAACCAACUAAUUUUAUUCCAGCUGGGACCUGAUGAUAUCCUAUUAGUAUUCUUGUCCCCACCUCCAGCCCUUAAGGUUACUGCUACAUAGGCCUAUAGCAUCACCUUCCUCCAGAUCAGUAUUCUUGUCCCCACCUCCAGCCCUUAAGGUUACUGCUACAUAGGCCUAUAGCAUCACCUUCCUCAAGAUCAGUAUUCUUGGCCCCACCUCCAGCCCUUAAGGUUACUGCUACAUAGGCCUAUAGCAUCACCUUCCUCCAGAUCAGUAUUCUUGGCCCCACCUCCAGCCCUUAAGGUUACUGCUACAUAGGCCUAUAGCAUCACCUUCCUCCAGAUCAGUAUUCUUG
Long non-coding RNA from Oncorhynchus tshawytscha (Chinook salmon), 2345 nucleotides. The record is from Ensembl. NCBI's taxonomy places the organism in Eukaryota, Metazoa, Chordata, Actinopteri, Salmoniformes, Salmonidae.